RNAcentral lists this unclassified non-coding RNA (395 nucleotides) under soil metagenome. RNAcentral describes it as "partial contains 5.8S ribosomal RNA, internal transcribed spacer 2, and large subunit ribosomal RNA". The stretch from base 1 to 122 matches the Rfam family "5.8S ribosomal RNA", at positions 35 to 154 of the family's 154-position model. The record is from RNAcentral.
GAUGAAGAACGCAGCGAAAUGCGAUACUUGGUGUGAAUUGCAGAAUCCCGUGAACCAUCGAGUCUUUGAACGCAAGUUGCGCCCGAAGCCAUCAGGUUGAGGGCACGUCUGCCUGGGCGUCACAUAUCGUUGCCCAAUGCCUAUUGCAGUGCAAUAGGAAUUUCUAGGGCGAAUGAUGGCUUCCCGUGAGCGUUGUUGCCUCGCGGUUGGUUGAAAAUCGAGUCCUUGGUAGGGUGUGCCAUGGUAGAUGGUGGUCGAGUUAGAACGAUACCGAUCAUGUGCAUGCUCCCCAAAAUAUGGCCUCUAUGACCCACACGCGUCUUUUGACGCUCAUGACGAGACCUCAGGUCAGGCGGGGCUACCCGCUGAAUUUAAGCAUAGCAAUAAGCGGAGGA